UGACCACACAUUUUCCCCACAGCAGCUCCUGGAAGGGGGGGUCCGCAUAAGAUUUGACCCACAGAUCUCUUCCGUUAUAGAUCUGACCCCCAUCAGCCCCACAACAGCUCCUGCCCCAUAGAUCUUCUAGUUAACUAACCCAAAUCAGCCCCGCAGCAGCUCCUGCCCCAUAGAUCAGACCAACAUCAGCCCCACAGUAGCUCCUGCCCCAUAGAUCUGACACACAUCAUAUGUAAAGCAGCUGCUGCCCAAUAGAUAUGACCCACAGCAGCUUCAGCCCCCAAGGAUCUGACCCACAUCAGCCCCACAGCAGCUCCUGCCCCAUAGAUCUAACCCACAGCAACAGCUACCCCAUUGAUAUGACCCACAUCUGCCCCACAGCAGCUCCUGCCCAAUAG
Long non-coding RNA from Coturnix japonica (Japanese quail), 398 nucleotides. The record is from Ensembl. NCBI's taxonomy places the organism in Eukaryota, Metazoa, Chordata, Aves, Galliformes, Phasianidae.